RNAcentral lists this ribosomal RNA (459 nucleotides) under uncultured bacterium. RNAcentral describes it as "partial 16S ribosomal RNA". It matches the Rfam family "Bacterial small subunit ribosomal RNA", at positions 338 to 795 of the family's 1533-position model. The record is from RNAcentral.
CCUACGGGAGGCAGCAGUGAGGAAUAUUGGUCAAUGGGCGCGAGCCUGAACCAGCCAAGCCGCGUGAGGGAAGAAGGUACAGCGUAUCGUAAACCUCUUUUGUCAGGGAACAAAGGCGGGGACUAGUCCCCGGAUGAGGGUACCUGAAGAAAAAGCAUCGGCUAACUCCGUGCCAGCAGCCGCGGUAAUACGGAGGAUGCGAGCGUUCUCCGGAUUUAUUGGGUUUAAAGGGUGCGCAGGCGGCCUGUUAAGUCAGCGGUAAAAGCCCGGGGCUCAACCCCGGCGAGCCGUUGAAACUGGCGGGCUUGAGUUGGAGAGAAGUACGCGGAAUGCGCGGUGUAGCGGUGAAAUGCUUAGAUAUCGCGCAGAACCCCGAUUGCGAAGGCAGCGUACCGGCUCCACACUGACGCUGAGGCACGAAAGCGUGGGUAUCGAACAGGAUUAGAUACCCGAGUAGUC